GGAGAGAAGAGUGGAUCUUUGAUUUGAUCUUUUUGCCAUCCUAGCUUUGAUUGUGCUAAGGAGCGGCUGUAACAGGACAUGGUUAAGUAAUCCAAUGAUCUAUUUCAUGCCAUCUUGUUCCAUCCCAUUUGGAUUUGCAAUUUCUGUCUGUGUUCUUCGCGUUCUUGCUUCUUCCUGUCCGCCCCCUUCACAUUUUUGUUCGAUUCAUGAGUUGUGGGGUGUUUUGAGUCAAACCAAUUGUUUGGAGAUGAAA
This 253-nucleotide long non-coding RNA is filed under the name Setaria viridis. RNAcentral's name for it is "long non-coding RNA (SVIR_LNC010577)". Lineage: Eukaryota; Viridiplantae; Streptophyta; Magnoliopsida; Poales; Poaceae. The record is from RNAcentral.